UGCCAGCCGCCGCGGUAGUACGGAGGGUGCAAGCGUUGUCCGGAUUUAUUGGGUUUAAAGGGUGCGUAGGUGGCGUGUUAAGUCAGUGGUGAAAGCCUGCAGCUCAACUGUAGAGGUGCCAUUGAUACUGACAUGCUUGAGUAUGGACGAGGUAAGCGGAAUUUGUGGUGUAGCGGUGAAAUGCAUAGAUACCACAAGGAACACCGAUAGCGAAGGCAGCUUACUGGACCAUAACUGACACUGAGGCGCGAAAGCGUGGGGAGCGAACAGGAUUAGAUA
RNAcentral lists this ribosomal RNA (279 nucleotides) under uncultured bacterium. RNAcentral describes it as "partial 16S ribosomal RNA". It matches the Rfam family "Bacterial small subunit ribosomal RNA", at positions 506 to 784 of the family's 1533-position model. The record is from RNAcentral.